GACGAACGCUGGCGGCGUGCCUAACACAUGCAAGUCGAACGAGGUCCAAGGGAGCUCGCUCCCUGAAGACCUAGUGGCGAACGGGUGAGUAACACGUGAGAAACCUGCCCUCGAGUGGGGAAUAACCCGGGGAAACCCGGGCUAAUACCGCAUACGCUCCUCUGGUCGCAUGGCCGGAGGAGGAAAGUUUUUCGCUCAAGGAGGGUCUCGCGGCCUAUCAGCUGUUUGGCGGGGUAACGGCCCACCAAGGCUACGACGGGUAGCUGGUUUGAGAGAACGAUCAGCCACACUGGGACUGAGACACGGCCCAGACUCCUACGGGAGGCAGCAGUGGGGAAUCUUGCGCAAUGGGCGAAAGCCUGACGCAGCAACGCCGCGUGCGGGAUGACGGCCUUCGUGGUUGUAAACCGCUUUCAGCAGGGACGAAAAUGACGGUACCUGCAGAAGAAGCUCCGGCUAACUACGUGCCAGCCGCCGCCGUAA
RNAcentral lists this ribosomal RNA (483 nucleotides) under uncultured bacterium. RNAcentral describes it as "partial 16S ribosomal RNA". It matches the Rfam family "Bacterial small subunit ribosomal RNA", at positions 28 to 523 of the family's 1533-position model. The record is from RNAcentral.